UUAAGUUAAUAAGGGCGCACGGUGGAUGCCUUGGCACUAGGAGCCGACGAAGGACGUGACAAACGACGAUAUGCCUUGGGUAGCUGUAAGUAAGCGAUGAUCCAGGGAUUCCGAAUGGGGGAACCCAACAGGUAAUACCUGUUACCUACAUCUGUUAAGGAUGUGAGGAGGAAGACGCAGUGAACUGAAACAUCUAAGUAGCUGCAGGAAGAGAAAGCAAAAGCGAUUGCCUUAGUAGCGGCGAGCGAAACGGCAGAAGGGCAAACCGAAGAGUUUACUCUUCGGGGUUGUAGGACUGCAAUGUGGACUCAAAGAUUAUAGAAGAAUGAUUUGGGAAGAUCAGCCAAAGAGAGUAAUAGCCUCGUAUUUAAAAUAGUCUUUGUACUUAGCAGUAUCCUGAGUACGGCGGGACACGUGAAAUCCCGUCGGAAUCUGGGAGGACCAUCUCCCAACCCUAAAUACUCCCUAGUGACCGAUAGUGAACCAGUACCGUGAGGGAAAGGUGAAAAGCACCCCGGGAGGGGAGUGAAAUAGAACCUGAAACCGUGUGCCUACAACAAGUUCGAGCCCGUUAAUGGGUGAGAGCGUGCCUUUUGUAGAAUGAACCGGCGAGUUACGUUAUGAUGCGAGGUUAAGUUGAAGAGACGGAGCCGUAGGGAAACCGAGUCUGAAUAGGGCGCCUUAGUAUCAUGACGUAGACCCGAAACCAUGUGACCUACCCAUGAGCAGGUUGAAGGUGCGGUAAGACGCACUGGAGGACCGAACCAGGGCACGUUGAAAAGUGCUUGGAUGACUUGUGGGUAGCGGAGAAAUUCCAAACGAACUUGGAGAUAGCUGGUUCUCUCCGAAAUAGCUUUAGGGCUAGCGUCGACAUUAGAGAUUCUUGGAGGUAGAGCACUGUUUGGGUGAGGGGUCCAUCCCGGAUUACCAAUCUCAGAUAAACUCCGAAUGCCAAUGAAUUAUGGUCGGCAGUCAGACUGCGAGUGCUAAGAUCCGUAGUCGAAAGGGAAACAGCCCAGACCACCAGCUAAGGUCCCAAAAUAAUUGUUAAGUGGAAAAGGAUGUGGGGUUGCACAGACAACUAGGAUGUUAGCUUAGAAGCAGCUAUUCAUUCAAAGAGUGCGUAAUAGCUCACUAGUCGAGUGACCCUGCGCCGAAAAUGUACCGGGGCUAAAACAAUUUACCGAAGCUGUGGAUACCUUUAUAGGUAUGGUAGGAGAGCGUUCUAUGUGUGAUGAAGGUAUACCGUGAGGAGUGCUGGAACGCAUAGAAGUGAGAAUGCCGGUAUGAGUAGCGAAAGACAGGUGAGAAUCCUGUCCACCGUAAGACUAAGGUUUCCAGGGGAAGGCUCGUCCGCCCUGGGUUAGUCGGGACCUAAGGAGAGACCGAAAGGUGUAUCCGAUGGACAACAGGUUGAUAUUCCUGUACUAGAGUAUGUAGUGAUGGAGGGACGCAGUAGGCUAACUAAAGCAGACGAUUGGAAGAGUCUGUCUAAGCAGUGAGGUGUGAAUUGAGUCAAAUGCUUAAUUCUAUAACAUUGAGCUGUGAUGGGGAGCGAAGUUUAGUAGCGAAGUUAGUGACGUCACACUGCCAAGAAAAGCUUCUAGCGUUUAAACAUACUCUACCCGUACCGCAAACCGACACAGGUAGUCGAGGCGAGUAGCCUCAGGUGAGCGAGAGAACUCUCGUUAAGGAACUCGGCAAAAUGACCCCGUAACUUCGGGAGAAGGGGUGCUGACUUUAAGUCAGCCGCAGUGAAUAGGCCCAAGCAACUGUUUAUCAAAAACACAGCUCUCUGCUAAAUCGUAAGAUGAUGUAUAGGGGGUGACGCCUGCCCGGUGCUGGAAGGUUAAGAGGAGUGCUUAGCGUAAGCGAAGGUAUGAAUUGAAGCCCCAGUAAACGGCGGCCGUAACUAUAACGGUCCUAAGGUAGCGAAAUUCCUUGUCGGGUAAGUUCCGACCCGCACGAAAGGCGUAAUGAUUUGGGCACUGUCUCAACGAGAGACUCGGUGAAAUUUUAGUACCUGUGAAGAUGCAGGUUACCCGCGACAGGACGGAAAGACCCCAUGGAGCUUUACUGCAGUUUGAUAUUGAGUGUCUGUACCACAUGUACAGGAUAGGUAGGAGUCUAAGAGAUCGGGACGCCAGUUUCGAAGGAGACGCUGUUGGGAUACUACCCUUGUGUUAUGGCCACUCUAACCCAGAUAGGUGAUCCCUAUCGGAGACAGUGUCUGACGGGCAGUUUGACUGGGGCGGUCGCCUCCUAAAAGGUAACGGAGGCGCCCAAAGGUUCCCUCAGAAUGGUUGGAAAUCAUUCGCAGAGUGUAAAGGUAUAAGGGAGCUUGACUGCGAGAGCUACAACUCGAGCAGGGACGAAAGUCGGGCUUAGUGAUCCGGUGGUUCCGUAUGGAAGGGCCAUCGCUCAACGGAUAAAAGCUACCCUGGGGAUAACAGGCUUAUCUCCCCCAAGAGUUCACAUCGACGGGGAGGUUUGGCACCUCGAUGUCGGCUCGUCGCAUCCUGGGGCUGUAGUCGGUCCCAAGGGUUGGGCUGUUCGCCCAUUAAAGCGGCACGCGAGCUGGGUUCAGAACGUCGUGAGACAGUUCGGUCCCUAUCCGUCGCGGGCGUAGGAAAUUUGAGAGGAUCUGCUCCUAGUACGAGAGGACCAGAGUGGACUUACCGCUGGUGUACCAGUUGUCUUGCCAAAGGCAUCGCUGGGUAGCUAUGUAGGGAAGGGAUAAACGCUGAAAGCAUCUAAGUGUGAAACCCACCUCAAGAUGAGAUUUCCCAUGAUUAUAUAUCAGUAAGAGCCCUGAGAGAUGAUCAGGUAGAUAGGUUAGAAGUGGAAGUGUGGCGACACAUGUAGCGGACUAAUACUAAUAGCUCGAGGACUUAUCCGA
Molecule: ribosomal RNA, 2899 nt
Filed under: Streptococcus pneumoniae GA41565
Lineage: Bacteria; Bacillati; Bacillota; Bacilli; Lactobacillales; Streptococcaceae
Description: bacterial LSU rRNA
Rfam family: Bacterial large subunit ribosomal RNA
Source: RNAcentral